AUGUUUCUUACCGGAGGUAGAGCUACUGGAUGGCCGAUGGGCCCCACAGGGUUACUGACGUCAGCCAAACUCCGAAUGCCGGUAAGUGAGAGUGUGGCAGUGAGACUGCGGGCGAUAAGGUUCGUAGUCGAGAGGGAAACAGCCCAGAUCGCCGGCUAAGGCCCCUAAGCGUGUACUAAGUGGAAAAGGAUGUGGGGUCGCGAAGACAACCAGGAGGUUGGCUUAGAAGCAGCCACCCUUGAAAGAGUGCGUAAUAGCUCACUGGUCAAGUGAUCCUGCGCCGACAAUGUAGCGGGGCUCAAGUACACCGCCGAAGCCGCGGCACUCACACAAUAGCCCGUUGGUUUUCUACGGAGAAUCAACCAGGUGUGUGGGUGGGUAGGGGAGCGUCCUGCAUCCGUGGAAGCCACAGAGUGAUCUAGUGGUGGAGGGUGUGGGAGUGAGAAUGCAGGCAUGAGUAGCGAAAGCAGAGUGAGAAACUCUGCCGCCGAAUGACCAAGGGUUCCUGGGCCAGGCUAAUCCGCCCAGGGUGAGUCGGGACCUAAGGCGAGGCCGACAGGCGUAGUCGAUGGACAACGGGUUGAUAUUCCCGUACCCGUGUAUCCGCGCCCAUGCUGAAUCAGUUGUACUAACCAUCCAGAUCCCCCAAGAAGGCCUUCGGGCCUCGAGUGGGGUGAUGCAUGGGACCUUGGCUGGUAGUAGGCAAGCGAUGGGGUGACGCAGGAAGGUAGUGGGGCCAGUCAGUGGUUGUACUGGUGUAAGCCUGUAGGGCGUGUUCUAGGCAAAUCCGGAACACA
Molecule: ribosomal RNA, 797 nt
Filed under: Gordonia amicalis
Lineage: Bacteria; Bacillati; Actinomycetota; Actinomycetes; Mycobacteriales; Gordoniaceae
Description: partial 23S ribosomal RNA
Rfam family: Bacterial large subunit ribosomal RNA
Source: RNAcentral